RNAcentral lists this ribosomal RNA (505 nucleotides) under uncultured bacterium. RNAcentral describes it as "partial 16S ribosomal RNA". It matches the Rfam family "Bacterial small subunit ribosomal RNA", at positions 30 to 523 of the family's 1533-position model. The record is from RNAcentral.
AUUGAACGCUGGCGGCAGGCCUAACACAUGCAAGUCGAACGGUAACAGGAAACAGCUUGCUGUUUCGCUGACGAGUGGCGGACGGGUGAGUAAUGUCUGGGAAACUGCCCGAUGGAGGGGGAUAACUACUGGAAACGGUAGCUAAUACCGCAUAACGUCGCAAGACCAAAGAGGGGGACCUUCGGGCCUCUUGCCAUCGGAUGUGCCCAGAUGGGAUUAGCUAGUAGGUGGGGUAACGGCUCACCUAGGCGACGAUCCCUAGCUGGUCUGAGAGGAUGACCAGCCACACUGGAACUGAGACACGGUCCAGACUCCUACGGGGGCAGCAGGGGGGAAUAUUGCACAAUGGGCGCAAGCCUGAUGCAGCCAUGCCGCGUGUAUGAAGAAGGCCUUCGGGUUGUAAAGUACUUUCAGCGGGGAGGAAGGGAGUAAAGUUAAUACCUUUGCUCAUUGACGUUACCCGCAGAAGAAGCACCGGCUAACUCCGUGCCAGCAGCCGCAGUAA